CCGAAAUCGGUAGACGCUACGGACUCAAAAUCCGUUG
RNAcentral lists this transfer RNA (37 nucleotides) under Pteridium aquilinum subsp. aquilinum. RNAcentral's name for it is "partial tRNA-Leu". The record is from RNAcentral. Lineage: Eukaryota; Viridiplantae; Streptophyta; Polypodiopsida; Polypodiales; Dennstaedtiaceae.